Molecule: ribosomal RNA, 253 nt
Filed under: uncultured bacterium
Lineage: Bacteria
Description: partial 16S ribosomal RNA
Rfam family: Bacterial small subunit ribosomal RNA
Source: RNAcentral
UACGUAGGGUGCGAGCGUUGUCCGGAAUUAUUGGGCGUAAAGAGCUCGUAGGCGGUUUGUCACGUCUGCUGUGAAAUCCCGAGGCUCAACCUCGGGCCUGCAGUGGGUACGGGCAGACUGGAGUGCGGUAGGGGAGAAUGGAAUUCCAGGUGUAGCGGUGAAAUGCGUAGAUAUCUGGAGGAACACCGGUGGCGAAGGCGGCAUCCUGGACCGACACUGACGCUGAGGCGCGAAAGCUAGGGUAGCAAACGGG